GACGUAGGGCGCGAGCGUUGUCCGGAUUUAUUGGGCGUAAAGGGCUCGUAGGCGGUUUGUCGCGUCGGGAGUGAAAUCCACUGGCUUAACUGGUGGCUUGCUUUCGAUACGGGCAGACUGGAGGUAUGCAGGGGAGAACGGAAUUCCAGGUGUAGCGGUGAAAUGCGUAGAUAUCUGGAGGAACACCGGUGGCGAAGGCGGCAUCCUGGACCGGUAUUGACGCUGAGGCGCGAAAGCCAGGGGAGCAAACGGG
This 253-nucleotide ribosomal RNA is filed under the name uncultured bacterium. Its description in RNAcentral is "partial 16S ribosomal RNA". It matches the Rfam family "Bacterial small subunit ribosomal RNA", at positions 524 to 776 of the family's 1533-position model. The record is from RNAcentral.